Molecule: ribosomal RNA, 921 nt
Filed under: uncultured bacterium
Lineage: Bacteria
Description: bacterial SSU rRNA
Rfam family: Bacterial small subunit ribosomal RNA
Source: RNAcentral
AGAGUUUGAUCAUGGCUCAGGACGAACGCUGGCGGCGUGCCUAACACAUGCAAGUCGAACGGUCUGAGGGGGUGUGAGGUUAGAGGUUAUCUCGCCUCUCACUUCGCAGGCUAGUGGCGGACGGGUGAGUAACACGUGGAUAACCUACCUGUAAGACCGGGAUAACAGUGGGAAACUGCUGCUAAUACCGGAUAAUCUGACCUUAGGGCAUCCUGGGGUUAGGAAAGGGGUUGAACCGCUUACAGAUGGGUCCGCGGCCCAUUAGCUAGCUGGUGGGGUAAUGGUCUACCAAGGCGAAGACGGGUAGCUGGUCUGAGAGGAUGAUCAGCCACACUGGCACUGAAACACGGGCCAGACUCCUACGGGAGGCAGCAGGAAGGAAUUUUGGACAAUGGGGGAAACCCUGAUCCAGCAACGCCGCGUGGGCGAUGAAGGUCUUCGGAUCGUAAAGCCCUUUUCUGCGGGAAGAGAGAGGACGGUACCGCAGGAAUAAGUCUCGGCUAACUACGUGCCAGCAGCCGCGGUAAAACGUAGGAGGCGAGCGUUAUCCGGAUUUACUGGGCGUAAAGCGCAUGCAGGCGGUUCUGCAAGUUGGGCGUGAAAUCUCUCGGCUUAACCGGGAGGGGUCGUUCAAUACUGCAGGACUUGAGUGCAGGAGAGGAAAGCGGAAUUCCCGGUGUAGCGGUAAUAUGCGCAGAUAUCGGGAAGAACACCAGUGGCGAAGGCGGCUUUCUGGCCUGUAACUGACGCUAAGAUGCGAAAGCCAGGGGAGCGAACGGGAUUAGAUACCCCGGUAGUCCUGGCCGUAAACGAUGGAUACUAGGUGUGGCUGGUAUUGACCCCAGCCGUGCCGAAGCCAACGCGUUAAGUAUCCCGCCUGGGGAGUACGACCGCAAGGUUAAAACUCAAAUGAAUUGACGG